GUCAAGUAAGAAUACCCGCUGAACUUAAGCAUAUCAAUAAGCGGAGGAAAAGAAACUAACUAGGAUUCCCUUAGUAACGGCGAGUGAACUGGGAAGAGCUCAAAUUUUAAAUCACUUUGGUGAAUUGUAAUUUGAAGAAAGUGUUUUGACUUUUCAGUUUAAUCUAAAUCCUUUGGGAUGAGGUAUCAUAGAGGGUGAGAAUCCCGUUCGUGAUUAAACCUCGGAUUGCACUAAUUCACUUUCUAAGAGUCGAGUUGUUUGGGAUUGCAGCUCUAAAUGGGUGGUAAAUUUCACCUAAGGCUAAAUAUAUGCAAGAGACCGAUAGCGAACAAGUACCGUGAGGGAAAGAUGAAAAGAACUUUGAAAAGAGAGUUAAACAGUACGUGAAAUUGUUGAAAGGGAAACGAUCGAAGUCAGUCAUGCUAGUGAGGAAUCAACUUGGUGGUUUACUUCCUUGUGUAUUUUCUUACUUGGCAGGUUAGCAUCAAUUUUGGUUGUCAUCAAAUAAUUGGGGGAAUGUGGCUUUUCUUCGGGAAAGUGUUAUAGACCUUGAUAGAUGUGGCGACUGAGAUUGAGGUUUGCAGCGGAUGCCUUUGGCUAGUCAUCUGUCUUCUGACCGUCACCUCGCUUUUGACAGCUUGCUGAUGAUUGCGGGAUUUGGUGGCCUAGAAGUUAGAAUGUACAUAAAUUCGCUAAGGAUGCUGACGUAAUGGCUUUAAACGACCCGUCUUGAAACACGGACCAAGGAGUCUAACAUAUGUGCGAGUGUU
Molecule: ribosomal RNA, 770 nt
Filed under: uncultured Acaulosporaceae
Lineage: Eukaryota; Fungi; Glomeromycota; Glomeromycetes; Diversisporales; Acaulosporaceae
Description: eukaryotic LSU rRNA
Rfam family: Eukaryotic large subunit ribosomal RNA
Source: RNAcentral